RNAcentral lists this ribosomal RNA (226 nucleotides) under Kuhlia sauvagii. RNAcentral describes it as "partial large subunit ribosomal RNA". It matches the Rfam family "Archaeal large subunit ribosomal RNA", at positions 2000 to 2315 of the family's 2987-position model. Lineage: Eukaryota; Metazoa; Chordata; Actinopteri; Centrarchiformes; Kuhliidae. The record is from RNAcentral.
UUUAACGGCCGCGGUAUUCUGACCGUGCGAAGGUAGCGUAAUCACUUGUCUUUUAAAUGGAGACCUGUAUGAAUGGCAUAACGAGGGCUUAACUGUCUCCUUUUUCCAGUCAAUGAAAUUGAUCUCCCCGUGCAGAAGCGGGGAUAAAAACAUAAGACGAGAAGACCCUAUGGAGCUUUAGACACCAAGGUGGCUCGUGUUAAGCACCCCUGAACAAAGGACCAAA